Molecule: ribosomal RNA, 492 nt
Filed under: uncultured bacterium
Lineage: Bacteria
Description: partial 16S ribosomal RNA
Rfam family: Bacterial small subunit ribosomal RNA
Source: RNAcentral
AGUGAACGCUGGCGGUAGGCCUAACACAUGCCAGUCGAACGGCAGCACAGUAAGAGCUUGCUCUUACGGGUGGCGAGUGGCGGACGGGUGAGGAAUACAUCGGAAUCUACUUUUUCGUGGGGGAUAACGUAGGGAAACUUACGCUAAUACCGCAUACGACCUACGGGUGAAAGCAGGGGAUCUUCGGACCUUGCGCGAUUGAAUGAGCCGAUGUCGGAUUAGCUAGUUGGCGGGGUGAAGGCCCACCAAGGCGACGAUCCGUAGCUGGUCUGAGAGGAUGAUCAGCCACACUGGAACUGAGACACGGUCCAGACUCCUACGGGAGGCAGCAGUGGGGAAUAUUGGACAAUGGGCGCAAGCCUGAUCCAGCCAUACCGCGUGGGUGAAGAAGGCCUUCGGGUUGUAAAGCCCUUUUGUUGGGAAAGAAAAGCAGCAGGUUAAUACCCCGCUGUUCUGACGGUACCCAAAGAAUAAGCACCGGCUAACUUCGUG